RNAcentral lists this ribosomal RNA (606 nucleotides) under uncultured Bacteroidales bacterium. Its description in RNAcentral is "bacterial SSU rRNA". It matches the Rfam family "Bacterial small subunit ribosomal RNA", at positions 61 to 656 of the family's 1533-position model. The record is from RNAcentral. Lineage: Bacteria; Pseudomonadati; Bacteroidota; Bacteroidia; Bacteroidales.
GUCGAGGGGCAGCAUGGUCUUAGCUUGCUAAGGCCGAUGGCGACCGGCGCACGGGUGAGUAACACGUAUCCAACCUGCCGUCUACUCUUGGACAGCCUUCUGAAAGGAAGAUUAAUACAAGAUGGCAUCAUGAGUCCGCAUGUUCACAUGAUUAAAGGUAUUCCGGUAGACGAUGGGGAUGCGUUCCAUUAGAUAGUAGGCGGGGUAACGGCCCACCUAGUCUUCGAUGGAUAGGGGUUCUGAGAGGAAGGUCCCCCACAUUGGAACUGAGACACGGUCCAAACUCCUACGGGAGGCAGCAGUGAGGAAUAUUGGUCAAUGGGCGAGAGCCUGAACCAGCCAAGUAGCGUGAAGGAUGACUGCCCUAUGGGUUGUAAACUUCUUUUAUAAAGGAAUAAAGUCGGGUAUGCAUACCCGUUUGCAUGUACUUUAUGAAUAAGGAUCGGCUAACUCCGUGCCAGCAGCCGCGGUAAUACGGAGGAUUCGAGCGUUAUCCGGAUUUAUUGGGUUUAAAGGGAGCGUAGAUGGAUGUUUAAGUCAGUUGUGAAAGUUUGCGGCUCAACCGUAAAAUUGCAGUUGAUACUGGAUAUCUUGAGUGCAGUUGAG